Molecule: unclassified non-coding RNA, 309 nt
Filed under: plant metagenome
Description: partial contains 5.8S ribosomal RNA, internal transcribed spacer 2, and large subunit ribosomal RNA
Rfam family: 5.8S ribosomal RNA (bases 1-105)
Source: RNAcentral
GAAAUGCGAUAAGUAAUGUGAAUUGCAGAAUUCAGUGAAUCAUCGAAUCUUUGAACGCACAUUGCGCCCGGGAGCAUUCUCCCGGGCAUGCCUGUUCGAGCGUCAUUUCAACCCUCGACCUCCCCUUGGGGAGGCCGGCCGUUGGAGAUCGGCAGCGAUUGCCGGCUCCCAAAUUCAGUGGCGACCCGCCGCGGGGACCCCUGCGCAGUAACAUACACUCGCACCGGAGACCAGACGUGUCACGCCGUAAAACCCCAACUUUCUGAACGUUGACCUCGGAUCAGGUAGGAAUACCCGCUGAACUUAAGC